Molecule: ribosomal RNA, 639 nt
Filed under: Triticum aestivum (bread wheat)
Lineage: Eukaryota; Viridiplantae; Streptophyta; Magnoliopsida; Poales; Poaceae
Description: partial small subunit ribosomal RNA
Source: RNAcentral
AUGUGUGCCUUCCAGGCCAAAGGGCAGGGAUUCCUUUACAUUCCUGAUUCUUGCACUGCUAAACAACUCAAGGAGAGAUCUACUAGCGUCGUGAUUGCUGUCAUAGAGGGGACUGCUAGUGUUAAGGAACUUGAGGAAGCGUUUUUUGACUACAUAGGGUCCAAAUGGCACUGCACUGCCCGUAUCAUUGGCCCUGACACCUAUGUGAUGAGAUUUCCUAAUCAAAGGGAUGUGAAAAAAGCAUGUUAUAACGAUAGGAUGAUCCUUAGAUCCUGUGGUGUGGUAGUUAAGAUCGUUCCUUGGUCGGCCAACAUUGGGGCUAAAGGGACUAUGGAGAUGGCAUGGGUGAAAGUUGCUAAUAUCCCUCUGGAAAGAAGAAAUGAGAGAAAUGUUGCUUAUGUUUCUUCCCUUGUGGGCGUCCCGCUCGAGAUCGACAUGGCCACCCUACACAAACCUGAAUUUGUCAGGGUCCGCCUGGGAUGUCGCAAUGUGGACGAGCUCCCUGGGGUUGCUGAGGCAGUGUUGGGCACACACUUCUUUGAUUUCUUCUAUGAAAUCGAGAAGGUGUUGGUUCGUGACCCUGAAAGAGAAAAAAGGAUGUGCAGACAGAGGCAGAUGUUAACAAAUCCCCUUUUGUGA